Molecule: long non-coding RNA, 2209 nt
Organism: Sebastes umbrosus (honeycomb rockfish)
Lineage: Eukaryota; Metazoa; Chordata; Actinopteri; Perciformes; Sebastidae
Exons: 2
Source: RefSeq, a predicted model, not a curated record
UCGUUUCACCCUUCCCGCUGCUUGGAGACUACUUUGCCGAGAGGAGAGCAGGGCAGCUCCGGAGACGGACCUUCAGCGGCUUUAGCAACUUGAAUUCAGUUAGCGCAAACCCCAGUGCCGGGUGUCUGAUUCCCGGACCGCCUCGACUCCCCCCGGAUCAGCAAACUUUCUGUUGCUGCAAUUACACAGGGUUAGACCGAGCACUGCUGCUGUUCACCAGCCUGCUGUGACCCCUGACGCCGGGGUUUGCGCUGGCUGAAUUCUAGUCGCUAUCUAACCCUAAAGCUGCAUUCACAACAGAUCAGGCGUUGCGGCGAUUCACCACAGGGUUGUGUGGCGGUGUGGGACCUUUAAGGCCCAUUAACUGCGUCGAUCAACGUCUUUUGUUCCCUCACGGCUGGGUUGUACAGCUCUGGAUCGCCGGAUACGUGAUUGGCCACCGCAGCGUGACGUCGGGUUGUGUUUCUCCAAAAGUUGAGUCCGUUUCUACUUUUCCGCCGCAGCCCAAACGCACCUCCCUCACUCUAAAUUAAUGGGAGGACUUGUGUUUUCGCCGCACCUCUGGAUCUGCAGCGGAACCCUAAUGCACAGUAAUGUCAUGCACUGUUUUGGCCAAUGGGUAAAAUUAUCCAAAUAUUUGCAAAAAUGUUGCCAACUGAUCAAUAUUUUAAGCAUUUAUCAAGCAAAAACUCCAAACAUUUGCCAGUUCUAACUUUUUUGCUGCCUUCCUCUGUUUUAUAUGAUUGCAAAUUGAAUAUCUUUAGGUUUUGGACUAAAAAAAGAUAGCUGUGGAAAAUGAUAUUGUUCACUAUUUCUUCACAAGCAAUUCAUUUAUUAAUUAAACAAGUACUCAAUAGAUUAACUGAUAAUGAAAUUCUAAAGAAGAUUAUACUUUGCAGGACAGAAAAGGCUCUGAUUUGCAUUUAGGUCAUCACAGGACACUGCAGCUCCGCUGAGAAACAGGCUAAGAUAUACGGAAUAUUUAUGUAUGAGUUAUAUGACAGGGUGACCUGCAGUACCGUAAGGGAAGGGAACUCUGAGACCCACUCUGAGACAAUCAGUUAAAAGUAAUUAUUGAAAAAAGUAUGAUCAGAAAUACAGUAUAUUCUUGUUUUAGAGUCUGUUUGGGAGCUCAGAGGCACAUUUAUGGCCGUAUGAAUUUCAGUCUGAAAAACGGCAUGUGUUCUCAGAUAACUCUCUCCGGAUAAAUAAAGAUAAAAAAGAGAAUAAUAAUGAUCAAAGCUGCAGAUCCCUGACAGAAAACAUCCAGAGUAAACAAUCCCGACUUCAACCUCGGCUCUUGACUUUUCUGUCCGCGCUGUGUCUCCUCAGACCAGCCGGGGAUAACAGACAUCCACAACCUUCCCAAAUGAAUAAAUCAUGUGGAAACGCACCUUGGCAGACACCUGGCUCGGGAAAGGUUUCAGCGCUCUCCUGAGUGCACCGUUGCCCCGUGUUUAGAUGAUCAAGAUGACCUUGUUCACAUUCGAAGUUUGAGUUUGUCUUGGCUGUAGCUGUCCAGUGGGAGUUUAUAGAUAAACUGAAUGGACAAAAGUAAAGCUGAGACGUAUUCGUGGAUAACUCAUUUGUCGAUCGACAGAAAAUUAAUUGGCAAUUAUUUUGACAAUCUAUUACAGUAAGUCAUUUUUAAAGCAAAAAUUCAAACGCUAUCUCGUUCCAGCUCGGAGUGGCUGCUGCUCUUCAUCUUAUGUGACAGUGCAAAUGAAUAUCUCUGGAUUUUGGACUGUUGGUUGGACGAAGAAAGCAAUUUUGAAGACGUCAUGUUGGGCUUUAGGGAAUUCUGAUUCUGAUUUUUCAGAAUUCUGUGACAUUUUACAGACCAAACGAAUAAUUGAUUAAAGGGUAACUUCAGUAUUUUUCAACCUGGUCACCAUUUUCCCAUAUUUGUGUGUCUAAGAGACAGAUAGGGAUACUUUUUUUUCAAUUGGUCCAGUAUUUAGGGAGGACGCUGUAACCGGCAGCUCGUAGGGCAAGUGAGCAGCGUCAACGUUACCUCUAACAUUAACUCUACAGAGAAAUAAGACCUUUUUCCUUUACCUUUCUUUCGCUUGAUCCGGUCUGUUUGUUAUUGUAUGUCACGUUCUGAAACCUUGCGUCGCCUCCACAAUGUGAAAGUCAUCUAAAUAUGUAGCUAUGACAUUGAAAAUCUUUUAGAUAACACUAAGCUACGCUUUCCGACUCCAACACA